AACUAUCUUCGAUAGAUCUAUAGGCUCGCUCAUCGACGAAAGACGCAUGGAAUAACGGUGAACAUUGUGAACUGCAGAUUUAAGCGAGCUAUCGAAUUUCGGAACGCAUUUUGCGCUGCGGGUAUCGGCCGGCACCACUUCUGUUCAACCCUAU
RNAcentral lists this ribosomal RNA (154 nucleotides) under Cyclospora cayetanensis. RNAcentral describes it as "5.8S ribosomal RNA". It matches the Rfam family "5.8S ribosomal RNA". From Rfam's summary of the family: 5.8S ribosomal RNA (5.8S rRNA) is a component of the large subunit of the eukaryotic ribosome. The record is from Rfam by way of RNAcentral. Lineage: Eukaryota; Apicomplexa; Conoidasida; Eucoccidiorida; Eimeriidae.